AGUGAACGCUGGCGGCAGGCCUAACACAUGCAAGUCGAACGGCAGCACAGUAAGAGCUUGCUCUUACGGGUGGCGAGUGGCGGACGGGUGAGGAAUACAUCGGAAUCUACUUUUUCGUGGGGGAUAACGUAGGGAAACUUACGCUAAUACCGCAUACGACCUACGGGUGAAAUCAGGGGAUCUUUGGACCUUGCGCGAUUGAAUGAGCCGAUGUCGGAUUAGCUAGUUGGCGGGGUAAAGGCCCACCAAGGCGACGAUCCGUAGCUGGUCUGAGAGGAUGAUCAGCCACACUGGAACUGAGACACGGUCCAGACUCCUACGGGAGGCAGCAGUGGGGAAUAUUGGACAAUGGGCGCAAGCCUGAUACAGCCAUACCGCGUGGGUGAAGAAGGCCUUCGGGGUGUAAAGCCCUUUUGUUGGGAAAGAAAAGCAGCAGGUUAAUACCCCGCUGUUCUGACGGUACCCAAAGAAUAAGCACCGGCUAACUUCGUG
RNAcentral lists this ribosomal RNA (492 nucleotides) under uncultured bacterium. RNAcentral describes it as "partial 16S ribosomal RNA". It matches the Rfam family "Bacterial small subunit ribosomal RNA", at positions 29 to 507 of the family's 1533-position model. The record is from RNAcentral.